Molecule: non-coding RNA, 74 nt
Submitted as: unclassified sequences
Source: Rfam
GGGGACCUUCGGGGCCCUAUAACCAUCGCGCCUACAUUUUGAUGUGAGCGUGCCUAGCAAACGGAAGACAGAGA